RNAcentral lists this ribosomal RNA (274 nucleotides) under uncultured bacterium. RNAcentral's name for it is "partial 16S ribosomal RNA". It matches the Rfam family "Bacterial small subunit ribosomal RNA", at positions 523 to 796 of the family's 1533-position model. The record is from RNAcentral.
AUACGGAGGGUGCAAGCGUUGUUCGGAAUUAUUGGGCGUAAAGCGCGUGUAGGCGGUCUGUUAAGUCUGGUGUGAAAGCCCUGGGCUCAACCCAGGAAGUGCAUUGGAUACUAGCAGACUUGAGUAUGGGAGAGGAAAGCGGAAUUCCGAGUGUAGGAGUGAAAUCCGUAGAUAUUCGGAGGAACACCAGUGGCGAAGGCGGCUUUCUGGACCAAUACUGACGCUGAGACGCGAAAGCGUGGGGAGCAAACAGGAUUAGAUACCCCAGUAGUCC